This 253-nucleotide ribosomal RNA is filed under the name uncultured prokaryote. Its description in RNAcentral is "partial 16S ribosomal RNA". It matches the Rfam family "Bacterial small subunit ribosomal RNA", at positions 524 to 776 of the family's 1533-position model. The record is from RNAcentral.
UACAGAGGUCGCAAGCGUUGUUCGGAUUUACUGGGCGUAAAGGGCGCGUAGGUGGUGGGGUAAGUCGGAUGUGAAAUCUCCGAGCUCAACUCGGGAAGUGCAUUGGAAACUACCCUGCUCGAGGGUUGGAGGGGGGACUGGAAUACUUGGUGUAGCAGUGAAAUGCGUAGAUAUCAAGUGGAACACCAGUGGCGAAGGCGAGUCCCUGGACAACUCCUGACACUGAGGCACGAAAGCUAGGGGAGCAAACAGG